Molecule: ribosomal RNA, 2901 nt
Filed under: Klebsiella pneumoniae BIDMC 12C
Lineage: Bacteria; Pseudomonadati; Pseudomonadota; Gammaproteobacteria; Enterobacterales; Enterobacteriaceae
Description: bacterial LSU rRNA
Rfam family: Bacterial large subunit ribosomal RNA
Source: RNAcentral
UUAAGCGACUAAGCGUACACGGUGGAUGCCCUGGCAGUCAGAGGCGAUGAAGGACGUGCUAAUCUGCGAAAAGCGUCGGUAAGGUGAUAUGAACCGUUAUAACCGGCGAUGUCCGAAUGGGGAAACCCAGUGCAAUUCGUUGCACUAUCGUUAACUGAAUACAUAGGUUAACGAGGCGAACCGGGGGAACUGAAACAUCUAAGUACCCCGAGGAAAAGAAAUCAACCGAGAUUCCCCCAGUAGCGGCGAGCGAACGGGGAGCAGCCCAGAGUCUGAAUCAGCUUGUGUGUUAGUGGAACGGUCUGGAAAGUCCGACGGUACAGGGUGAUAGUCCCGUACACCAAAAUGCACAGGCUGUGAACUCGAAGAGUAGGGCGGGACACGUGGUAUCCUGUCUGAAUAUGGGGGGACCAUCCUCCAAGGCUAAAUACUCCUGACUGACCGAUAGUGAACCAGUACCGUGAGGGAAAGGCGAAAAGAACCCCGGCGAGGGGAGUGAAAAAGAACCUGAAACCGUGUACGUACAAGCAGUGGGAGCACCUUCGGGUGUGACUGCGUACCUUUUGUAUAAUGGGUCAGCGACUUAUAUUCUGUAGCAAGGUUAACCGUAUAGGGGAGCCGCAGGGAAACCGAGUCUUAACUGGGCGUUAAGUUGCAGGGUAUAGACCCGAAACCCGGUGAUCUAGCCAUGGGCAGGUUGAAGGUUGGGUAACACUAACUGGAGGACCGAACCGACUAAUGUUGAAAAAUUAGCGGAUGACUUGUGGCUGGGGGUGAAAGGCCAAUCAAACCGGGAGAUAGCUGGUUCUCCCCGAAAGCUAUUUAGGUAGCGCCUCGUGAACUCAUCUUCGGGGGUAGAGCACUGUUUCGGCUAGGGGGUCAUCCCGACUUACCAACCCGAUGCAAACUACGAAUACCGAAGAAUGUUAUCACGGGAGACACACGGCGGGUGCUAACGUCCGUCGUGAAGAGGGAAACAACCCAGACCGCCAGCUAAGGUCCCAAAGUCAUGGUUAAGUGGGAAACGAUGUGGGAAGGCACAGACAGCCAGGAUGUUGGCUUAGAAGCAGCCAUCAUUUAAAGAAAGCGUAAUAGCUCACUGGUCGAGUCGGCCUGCGCGGAAGAUGUAACGGGGCUAAACCAUGCACCGAAGCUGCGGCAGCGACACUAUGUGUUGUUGGGUAGGGGAGCGUUCUGUAAGCCUGCGAAGGUGUGCUGUGAGGCAUGCUGGAGGUAUCAGAAGUGCGAAUGCUGACAUAAGUAACGAUAAAGCGGGUGAAAAGCCCGCUCGCCGGAAGACCAAGGGUUCCUGUCCAACGUUAAUCGGGGCAGGGUGAGUCGACCCCUAAGGCGAGGCCGAAAGGCGUAGUCGAUGGGAAACAGGUUAAUAUUCCUGUACUUGGUGUUACUGCGAAGGGGGGACGGAGAAGGCUAUGUUAGCCGGGCGACGGUUGUCCCGGUUUAAGCAUGUAGGCUGAUUGUCCAGGCAAAUCCGGAUAAUCAAGGCUGAGGUGUGAUGACGAGGCACUACGGUGCUGAAGUAACAAAUGCCCUGCUUCCAGGAAAAGCCUCUAAGCAUCAGGUAACAUCAAAUCGUACCCCAAACCGACACAGGUGGUCAGGUAGAGAAUACCAAGGCGCUUGAGAGAACUCGGGUGAAGGAACUAGGCAAAAUGGUGCCGUAACUUCGGGAGAAGGCACGCUGGUGUGUAGGUGAAGUCCCUGCGGAUGGAGCUGAGACCAGUCGAAGAUACCAGCUGGCUGCAACUGUUUAUUAAAAACACAGCACUGUGCAAACACGAAAGUGGACGUAUACGGUGUGACGCCUGCCCGGUGCCGGAAGGUUAAUUGAUGGGGUUAUCCGUAAGGAGAAGCUCUUGAUCGAAGCCCCGGUAAACGGCGGCCGUAACUAUAACGGUCCUAAGGUAGCGAAAUUCCUUGUCGGGUAAGUUCCGACCUGCACGAAUGGCGUAAUGAUGGCCAGGCUGUCUCCACCCGAGACUCAGUGAAAUUGAACUCGCUGUGAAGAUGCAGUGUACCCGCGGCAAGACGGAAAGACCCCGUGAACCUUUACUAUAGCUUGACACUGAACAUUGAGCCUUGAUGUGUAGGAUAGGUGGGAGGCUUUGAAGCGUGGACGCCAGUCUGCGUGGAGCCAACCUUGAAAUACCACCCUUUAAUGUUUGAUGUUCUAACGUUGGCCCCUGACCGGGGUUGCGGACAGUGUCUGGUGGGUAGUUUGACUGGGGCGGUCUCCUCCCAAAGCGUAACGGAGGAGCACGAAGGUUAGCUAAUCCUGGUCGGACAUCAGGAGGUUAGUGCAAUGGCAUAAGCUAGCUUGACUGCGAGCGUGACGGCGCGAGCAGGUGCGAAAGCAGGUCAUAGUGAUCCGGUGGUUCUGAAUGGAAGGGCCAUCGCUCAACGGAUAAAAGGUACUCCGGGGAUAACAGGCUGAUACCGCCCAAGAGUUCAUAUCGACGGCGGUGUUUGGCACCUCGAUGUCGGCUCAUCACAUCCUGGGGCUGAAGUAGGUCCCAAGGGUAUGGCUGUUCGCCAUUUAAAGUGGUACGCGAGCUGGGUUUAGAACGUCGUGAGACAGUUCGGUCCCUAUCUGCCGUGGGCGCUGGAGAAUUGAGGGGGGCUGCUCCUAGUACGAGAGGACCGGAGUGGACGCAUCACUGGUGUUCGGGUUGUCAUGCCCAAUGGCACUGCCCGGUAGCUAAAUGCGGAAGAGAUAAGUGCUGAAAGCAUCUAAGCACGAAACUUGCCCCGAGAUGAGUUCUCCCUGAGACUUUAAGUCUCCUGAAGGAACGUUAAAGACGAUGACGUUGAUAGGCCGGGUGUGUAAGCGCAGCGAUGCGUUGAGCUAACCGGUACUAAUGAACCGUGAGGCUUAACCUU